This 661-nucleotide ribosomal RNA is filed under the name uncultured bacterium. RNAcentral's name for it is "bacterial SSU rRNA". It matches the Rfam family "Bacterial small subunit ribosomal RNA", at positions 210 to 889 of the family's 1533-position model. The record is from RNAcentral.
CUCCGGUGGUAUGAGAUGGACCCGCGUCUGAUUAGGUAGUUGGUGAGGUAACGGCCCACCAAGCCGACGAUCAGUAGCCGACCUGAGAGGGUGACCGGCCACAUUGGGACUGAGACACGGCCCAAACUCCUACGGGAGGCAGCAGUGGGGAAUAUUGGACAAUGGGGGAAACCCUGAUCCAGCGACGCCGCGUGACUGAAGAAGUAUUUCGGUAUGUAAAGGUCUAUCAGCAGGGAAGAAAAUGACGGUACCUGACUAAGAAGCCCCGGCUAACUACGUGCCAGCAGCCGCGGUAAUACGUAGGGGGCAAGCGUUAUCCGGAUUUACUGGGUGUAAAGCGCACGCAGGCGGUCUGUCAAGUCGGAUGUGAAAUCCCCGGGCUCAACCUGGGAACUGCAUUCGAAACUGGCAGGCUAGAGUCUUGUAGAGGGGGGUAGAAUUCCAGGUGUAGCGGUGAAAUGCGUAGAGAUCUGGAGGAAUACCGGUGGCGAAGGCGGCCCCCUGGACAAAGACUGACGCUCAGGUGCGAAAGCGUGGGGAGCAAACAGGAUUAGAUACCCUGGUAGUCCACGCCGUAAACGAUGUCGACUUGGAGGUUGUUCCCUUGAGGAGUGGCUUCCGGAGCUAACGCGUUAAGUCGACCGCCUGGGGAGACUGCCGC